AGGGAAAAGGUGAAGCUGCCAGCAUGAUCUAUCUUUGGUUAGAGAAGGAUAGAAGCGAAAGAACUAACCCUAGCUAGGUCAUGCUCUGACAGCCUCACUCCUUCC
This 105-nucleotide microRNA precursor is filed under the name Populus trichocarpa (black cottonwood). RNAcentral describes it as "miR167d stem-loop (ptc-MIR167d)". Its record names the gene ptc-MIR167d. It matches the Rfam family "MIR167 microRNA precursor family". Lineage: Eukaryota; Viridiplantae; Streptophyta; Magnoliopsida; Malpighiales; Salicaceae. The record is from miRBase by way of RNAcentral.